GAUGAACGCUGGCGGCGUGCCUAAUACAUGCAAGUCGAGCGAACGGACGAGAAGCUUGCUUCUCUGAUGUUAGCGGCGGACGGGUGAGUAACACGUGGAUAACCUACCUAUAAGACUGGGAUAACUUCGGGAAACCGGAGCUAAUACCGGAUAAUAUUUUGAACCGCAUGGUUCAAAAGUGAAAGACGGUCUUGCUGUCACUUAUAGAUGGAUCCGCGCUGCAUUAGCUAGUUGGUAAGGUAACGGCUUACCGAGGCAACGAUGCAUAGCCGACCUGAGAGGGUGAUCGACCACACUGGAACUGAGACACGGUCCAGACUCCUACGGGAGGCAGCAGUAGGGAAUCUUCCGCAAUGGGCGAAAGCCUGACGGAGCAACGCCGCGUGAGUGAUGAAGGUCUUCGGAUCGUAAAACUCUGUUAUUAGGGAAGAACAUAUGUGUAAGUAACUGUGCACAUCUUGACGGUACCUAAUCAGAAAGCCACGGCUAACUACGUG
Molecule: ribosomal RNA, 497 nt
Filed under: uncultured bacterium
Lineage: Bacteria
Description: partial 16S ribosomal RNA
Rfam family: Bacterial small subunit ribosomal RNA
Source: RNAcentral